Molecule: ribosomal RNA, 464 nt
Filed under: bacterium Urfm14
Lineage: Bacteria
Description: bacterial SSU rRNA
Rfam family: Bacterial small subunit ribosomal RNA
Source: RNAcentral
UCAUGGCUCAGGACGAACGCCGGCGGCGUGCCUAAUACAUGCAAGUAGAACGCUGAAGAGAGGAGCUUGCUCUUCUUGGUUGAGUUGCGAACGGGUGAGUAACGCGUAGGUAACCUGCCUGGUAGCGGGGGAUAACUAUUGGAAACGAUAGCUAAUACCGCAUAAAAUGGAUUAUCGCAUGAUAAUUCAUUGAAAGGUGCAAAUGCAUCACUACCAGAUGGACCUGCGUUGUAUUAGCUAGUUGGUGGGGUAACGGCUCACCAAGGCAACGAUACAUAGCCGACCUGAGAGGGUGAUCGGCCACACUGGGACUGAGACCACGGCCCAGACUCCUACGGGAGGCAGCAGUAGGGAAUCUUCGGCAAUGGACGGAAGUCUGACCGAGCAACGCCGCGUGAGUGAAGAAGGUUUUCGGAUCGUAAAGCUCUGUUGUAAGAGAAGAACGAGUGUGAGAGUGGAAAGUC